This 253-nucleotide ribosomal RNA is filed under the name uncultured bacterium. RNAcentral's name for it is "partial 16S ribosomal RNA". It matches the Rfam family "Bacterial small subunit ribosomal RNA", at positions 524 to 776 of the family's 1533-position model. The record is from RNAcentral.
UACGUAGGGGCCUAGCGUUGUCCGGAUUUAUUGGGCGUAAAGGGCGCGUAGGCGGUCCGAUAAGUCCCGUGUGAAAUCCCUCGGCUCAACUGAGGAAUGGCACGGGAAACUGCCGGGCUUGAGUUCGGGAGAGGGAAGCGGAAUUCCGGGUGUAGCGGUGAAAUGCGUAGAUAUCCGGAGGAACACCGGUGGCGAAGGCGGCUUCCUGGACCGACACUGACGCUGAGGCGCGAAAGCUAGGGGAGCAAACGGG